This 169-nucleotide ribosomal RNA is filed under the name uncultured bacterium. RNAcentral's name for it is "partial 16S ribosomal RNA". The record is from RNAcentral.
AUUACCGCGGCUGCUGGCACGAAGUUAGCCGGAGCUUCUUCUACGGGUACCGUCAUUAUCGUCCCCGUCGAAAGAGUUUUACAACCCGAAGGCCUUCAUCACUCACGCGGCAUGGCUGGAUCAGGGUUUCCCCCAUUGUCCAAAAUUCCCAACUGCUGCCUCCCGUAGG